AUUGAACGCUGGCGGCAGGCCUAACACAUGCAAGUCGAGCGGAUGAAGGGAGCUUGCUCCUGGAUUCAGCGGCGGACGAGUGAGUAAUGCCUAGGAAUCUGCCUGGUAGUGGGGGAUAACGUCCGGAAACGGGCGCUAAUACCGCAUACGAUCUGAGGGAGAAAGUGGGGGAUCUUCGGACCUCACGCUAUCAGAUGAACCUAGGUCGGAUUAGCUAGUUGGUGGGGUAAAGGCCUACCGAGGCGACGAUCCGUAACUGGUCUGAGAGGAUGAUCAGUCACACUGGAACUGAGACACGGUCCAGACUCCUACGGGAGGCAGCAGUGGGGAAUAUUGGACAAUGGGCGAAAGCCUGAUCCAGCCAUGCCGCGUGUGUGAAGAAGGUCUUCGGAUUUUAAAGCACUUUAAGUUGGGAGGAAGGGCAGUAAGUUAAUACCUUGCUGUUUUGACGUUACCAACAGAAUAAGCACCGGCUAACUUCGUG
Molecule: ribosomal RNA, 484 nt
Filed under: uncultured bacterium
Lineage: Bacteria
Description: partial 16S ribosomal RNA
Rfam family: Bacterial small subunit ribosomal RNA
Source: RNAcentral